This 482-nucleotide ribosomal RNA is filed under the name uncultured bacterium. Its description in RNAcentral is "SSU rRNA". It matches the Rfam family "Bacterial small subunit ribosomal RNA", at positions 26 to 521 of the family's 1533-position model. The record is from RNAcentral.
AGGACGAACGCUGGCGGCGUGCUUAACACAUGCAAGUCGAACGGAAAGGCCCUUUCGGGGGUACUCGAGUGGCGAACGGGUGAGUAACACGUGGGUGAUCUGCCCUGCACUUUGGGAUAAGCCUGGGAAACUGGGUCUAAUACCGAAUACACCUUGCUGGCUGCAUGGCCUGGUGGGGGAAAGCUUUUGCGGUGUGGGAUGGGCCCGCGGCCUAUCAGCUUGUUGGUGGGGUGAUGGCCUACCAAGGCGACGACGGGUAGCCGGCCUGAGAGGGUGUCCGGCCACACUGGGACUGAGAUACGGCCCAGACUCCUACGGGAGGCAGCAGUGGGGAAUAUUGCACAAUGGGCGCAAGCCUGAUGCAGCGACGCCGCGUGAGGGAUGACGGCCUUCGGGUUGUAACCUCUUUCAGUAUCGACGAAGCGCAAGUGACGGUAGGUACGAGAAGAAGCACCGGCCAACUACGUGCCAGCAGCCGCGGU